This 376-nucleotide ribosomal RNA is filed under the name uncultured bacterium. Its description in RNAcentral is "partial 16S ribosomal RNA". It matches the Rfam family "Bacterial small subunit ribosomal RNA", at positions 338 to 706 of the family's 1533-position model. The record is from RNAcentral.
CCUACGGGAGGCAGCAGUGGGGAAUAUUGCGCAAUGGGCGAAAGCCUGACGCAGCGACGCCGCGUGAGGGAUGAAGGUCUUCGGAUCGUAAACCUCUGUCAGCAGGGAAGAACGGUCACUGUGCUAAUCAGCAGUGAAUUGACGGUACCUGCAAAGGAAGCACCGGCUAACUCCGUACCAGCAGCCGCGGUAAUACGGAGGGUGCGAGCGUUAAUCGGAAUUACUGGGCGUAAAGCGCUCGUAGGCGGUAUGUCAAGUCAAGGGUGAAAUCCCCGCGCUCAACGUGGGAACUGCCUUUGAAACGGGCAAAGUGGAGGGUGUGAGAGGAGAGUGGAAUUCGGGGGUGAGGAGGGAAAUCGGUAGAUAUGUGGAGGAA